RNAcentral lists this ribosomal RNA (280 nucleotides) under Francisella tularensis subsp. holarctica. RNAcentral describes it as "partial 23S ribosomal RNA". It matches the Rfam family "Bacterial large subunit ribosomal RNA", at positions 764 to 1041 of the family's 2925-position model. The record is from RNAcentral. Lineage: Bacteria; Pseudomonadati; Pseudomonadota; Gammaproteobacteria; Thiotrichales; Francisellaceae.
AAUUGGAGGACCGAACCCAAUACUGUUGCAACAGGAUGGGAUGAGCUGUGGAUCGGAGUGAAAGGCUAAUCAAGCACGGAGAUAGCUGGUUCUCCCCGAAAACUUUUUAGGUAGUGCCUCGUGUAUAUCUCAUUGGGGUAAAGCACUGUUUCGACAAUGGGGGUUUUAAGACCUUACUGACUCGAUGCAAACUCAGAAUACGAUGAAUUUCGAACACGGGCGACACACUGCGGUUGCUAAGGUACGCAGUGGAAAGGGAAACAGCCCAGACCGCCAACUA